GCGACGAUCUGUAGCUGGUCUGAGAGGAUGAUCAGCCACACCGGGCCUGAGACACGGCCCGGACUCCUACGGGAGGCAGCAGUGGGGAAUAUUGGACAAUGGGGGAAACCCUGAUCCAGCCAUGCCGCGUGUGUGAAGAAGGCCUUUUGGUUGUAAAGCACUUUAAGCAGUGAAGAAGACUCUUCGGUUAAUACCCGGGGACGAUGACAUUAGCUGCAGAAUAAGCACCGGCUAACUCUGUGCCAGCAGCCGCGGUAAUACAGAGGGUGCAAGCGUUAAUCGGAAUUACUGGGCGUAAAGCGAGCGUAGGUGGCUUGAUAAGUCAGAUGUGAAAUCCCCGGGCUUAACCUGGGAACUGCAUCUGAAACUGUUAGGCUAGAGUAGGUGAGAGGGAAGUAGAAUUUCAGGUGUAGCGGUGAAAUGCGUAGAGAUCUGAAGGAAUACCGAUGGCGAAGGCAGCUUCCUGGCAUCAUACUGACACUGAGGCUCGAAAGCGUGGGUAGCAAACAGGAUUAGAUACCCUGGUAGUCCACGCCGUAAACGAUGUCUACUAGUCGUUGGGUCCCUUGAGGACUUAGUGACGCAGCUAACGCAAUAAGUAGACCGCCUGGGGAGUACGGCCGCAAGGUUAAAACUCAAAUGAAUUGACGGGGGCCCGCACAAGCGGUGGAGCAUGUGGUUUAAUUCGAUGCAACGCGAAGAACCUUACCUGGUCUUGACAUAUCUAGAAUCCUGCAGAGAUGCGGGAGUGCCUUCGGGAAUUAGAAUACAGGUGCUGCAUGGCUGUCGUCAGCUCGUGUCGUGAGAUGUUGGGUUAAGUCCCGCAACGAGCGCAACCCUUGUCCUUAGUUACCAGCGGGUUAAGCCGGGAACUCUAAGGAUACUGCCAGUGACAAACUGGGAGGAAGGCGGGGACGACGUCAAGUCAUCAUGGCCCUUACGACCAGGG
Molecule: ribosomal RNA, 949 nt
Filed under: Psychrobacter sp. RP19
Lineage: Bacteria; Pseudomonadati; Pseudomonadota; Gammaproteobacteria; Moraxellales; Moraxellaceae
Description: bacterial SSU rRNA
Rfam family: Bacterial small subunit ribosomal RNA
Source: RNAcentral